Molecule: long non-coding RNA, 670 nt
Organism: Coffea eugenioides
Lineage: Eukaryota; Viridiplantae; Streptophyta; Magnoliopsida; Gentianales; Rubiaceae
Exons: 2
Source: RefSeq, a predicted model, not a curated record
CACUCAACUGGCUGUAGCUGGGCUAGACUCACUACACCGAAACACUCCCCAUAGGGUUUAACAUGGUCGUCGCCACCGCAUCUGCGGCCGCGCGCUCCUUUCUCCGAACAAACGCCGCCCGCAGCGCCGCCGCCAGACUUACCACUAAGUCCAAACCAUCUACUUCUCCCUUCCGCUCACCUUCCUCCAAGCCUCUCUCCCGUCGUAUUUUUAGGCGUCCGGUAGAAUUGAGUGCAUGCUUGGAGUCAAUGCAGCCGUACCACAGCGCAACGGCGUCGUCUUUGAUGAUUUCGAACCUCACCGUCUCUCGCUGCGGUUACGGUUGGCUUUUCGAAGAUAUGUGAGAGGAAAGUCAUGGAAGGAUAAAGAAAUGAUUUUUGCGUCUUAGUCCUCGAUUGGAACACAGAAUUUUUGGUGAGGAAAAUGGAUAGGCUUUUUCUUUUAUUGUCUUUUUUCCUUCAAUUUUUUUUUCUGUAUUUUGUGUUAAGAGAAAACUGGAAGGAAGAUGGUUAAUGCUUGAAGUUAAAGAGGAAUCAAUCAAAAUCUUCCUUCAGUUUUAGAUGUAAUGCUGCAGCAAUUUUAACAUAGUGAAAUGUGAAAGCAAUCAUUUUACUAAAAUCUCAUUUUCCUUGGCAACAUCUAUGAGGUAUAAGAAGCUUUUAUUUCUUGA